RNAcentral lists this ribosomal RNA (465 nucleotides) under uncultured bacterium. RNAcentral describes it as "partial 16S ribosomal RNA". It matches the Rfam family "Bacterial small subunit ribosomal RNA", at positions 28 to 507 of the family's 1533-position model. The record is from RNAcentral.
GACGAACGCUGGCGGCGUGCUUAACACAUGCAAGUCGAACGGAAAGGCCCCUCUUGGGGUUCUCGAGUGGCGCACGGGUGAGUAACACGCGAGUAACCCUCCCUUGACUUCGGGAUUACUUCAGGAAACUGGGGCUAAUACCGGCUAGCGAUCCUUGCUGCAUGGUGGGGGUUGGUCAGAUUCGGCGGUUUUGGAUGGACUCGCGGCUUAUCAGCUUGUUGGUGGGGUAGUGGCUUACCAAGGCUUCGACGGGUAGCUGGCCUGAGAGGGCGAUCGGCCACAUUGGGACUGAGAUGAGGCCCAGAUGCCUACGGGAGGCAGCAGUGGGGAAGAUUGCACAAUGGGCGGAGGGCGGAUGAAGAAGCGCCGCGGGCGGGAUGACGGCCUUCGGGUUGAGAACCGGUAGCAGCAGGAGAGAAGCUUGUGGUGACGGUACCUGCAGAAGAAGCACCGGCUAACUACGUG